GGGAUGCGUGUCACACGUGCGUGCCCCUCGGUAUCCCACCUUCUCUUUGCUGAUGAUAGCCUUUUCUUUUGUAAGGCGGAGCCCCGUGAAUGUGAAGAAGUAAUGAAAGUAGUUAGGAUAUAUGGUAAAGCAUCUGGCCAGUGAACUUUGAUAAAUCGUCCUUACUCUUUGGUAAGCGAGUUAAUGCAACUACCAGACAAGAGGUCAAAGAUGCACUGGGAAUACAAAAUGAAGGAGGGAUGGGAACCUACUUGGGUAUUCCAGAAGACAUAAGCGGCUCCAAGUGCAAAUUGUUUGCUUUCCUUAAGGAUAAGUUAAUGCACAGGGUAAAUGGAUGGACGGGUAGGUGGCUUUCAAAAGGAGGAAAGGAAGUAUUGAUAAAAUCGAUUUUGUUAGCUCUCCCGACUUAUGUAAUGUCUACUUUCCUGCUCCCUUUGGAGAUAUGUGAAAACUUAGCUAGUGCCAUUGCACGCUUCUGGUGGAGCUCGAAUCCCCCAAAGAGAGGAAUACACUGGGCGAAAUGGGAAAAGGUGUGUGCACCAAGAGAGGAAGGUGGGAUUGGGUUUCGUAUGAUCCAUGAGUUUAAUCUGGCAUUGUUGGCAAAACAAUUAUGGAGGUUGGUUCAGUUCCCAGAUUCAUUGGUUGCCCGGGUCUUGAGGGGAAGAUACUACAGAUUAAGUUCUCCGGUGAGAGUAAACUCUACCAAUAACCCAUCGUAUGUGUGGAAUAGCAUCUCUGCUGCAAGGAAGUUGCUACUACUGGGAAUCAGACUGAAGAUUCACUCAGGAUAUGGUGUUAAGGUGUGGGAGGAUCCGUGGAUCCCAACGAUCCCAUCAAGACCGGCGGCUCCUGUUGCGCCUGUUAUGCACCCCAACAUGAGAGUUAGCGAUCUCAUUAAUCAGACAUCGAAGGAAUGGGAUGUUCGGCUUUUGGAGAGCUAUGUCAACAUGGACGAUAUACAGCUUAUAAGGAGUUUAGCCAUAAGCUCAUCUCAUCGCCGCGACUCCUUCUGCUGGAGCUACACAAGAAACGGACAAUACACAGUUAAAUCUGGAUAUUGGGUGGCGCGGAACUUAUUAAAGGUGGAGGAGGAACAGGAGGUUUUGGAGCCAAGUAUCACCAAUCUUCAAGCUUUUGCUUGGAAGCUGAAGGCGCCUACGAAGAUACGUCAUCUUAUAUGGCAGUUGUUGACUGGGCACGUGGCAGUAACAAUGAAUUUAGCAAGACGCAAUAUGAGAUGUGAUAAUUACUGCCCGAGGUGUGGAGAGUUAGAAGAAUCUGUAACUCAUGCCAUCUUUGAAUGCCCGCCAGCGCUACAAGUCUGGAGCCUAUCAGCAACCCCAACAGGCCCAGAGGUAUUUCCAGUAUCAAGCAUCUACACGAACAUGGAUUAUCUAUUUUGGAGGAAAAACUCUAUUAUUGAGCCGGAACAAGACAGGGAUCCUUAUCCCUGGAUAAUUUGGUAUAUAUGGAAGGCUAGGAAUGAAAAACUAUUCAGGGGGAUAGAUAGAGAUCCUUUGGAGUUAGUUCGAUAUGCAGAGAGUGAAUGUCGAGCCUGGUUUGAGGCGAAUGAAGUGAUACAACCAGUGCCACAAGGAAACAAUAUGGUGAUCCCCCAAGUCUUAAGCUUGGGCAACAUAUGCCUGUUAGAUGGAUCUUGGACAGCAUCGGCAAACUUUAGUGGAUGUGGAUGGGUGUGGAUGGACAGUAGGGGGAAGGCUCAGCUUAUGGGGUUAAAAAAUAUUACUCGACGUGAAUCAGCCUUGCACUCGGAAGUUGAAGCACUACAGUGGGCAAUGGAGAAUAUGCUUCAGCACUCAACAUGUCAAAGCUUUGGGACGGAUUGUAAGGACCUGAUUGCUAUGCUAGAGGAACCUCAUGCUUGGCCAAGCUUUGCGACAGAAUUGGAGAAGAUCGAGACGCUACGGAUAUGCUUCCCGGAGUUCAGCAUUACUCAUGUCCCACGAACGCAAAAUCAAUUUUCAGAUUUUUUAGCUAAGACUGCUAGAUCUUUCCAUAGGGAGUUACUUUUCAUUGGUUGUUCUAUUCCGGUCUGGUUACCCAGACCACCUCAAGCCUGAGUAAUAGAAUGGCCGUUUGACGUCAAAAAAAAAAAAAAAAAAUCUAAGUAUAAGUUAAUAUUUUUAGAACCAAUCCGAAACCGAAACUAUUUGGAAUUCAACCGAAAUUUUAGACAUGUAACUAAACUUGAACCGAAUCCGAUCCAAACUGUUAAAAUAUCUAAAUGGGGUUGAAAUUCAUGAAUUGAAAUAGGAAUGAAUCCUAACUGAAACCCAAUUGGCCACUAACCCUAUUUAAUCCAAUAAAAUCUUAUUGUAAAGUCAUCUGAUUAAAUUGAUUAUUUAAAAGUUAUAAACGGAGGAGUAGUUAGUAGGUAGUUUUGUUGUCAAAGAAAAAAGAAAAACAAUUGGACUAUUUGAAAACCAAAUUGGAUCUGGGAGAAAGAGAGCGAUCUGGACGAAGAAGCUAACGGUGGGUACGCAUUAGCUGCAACGCCGCCAUGUUCUCGGAUGACGAAAAAAGACACGUUUCUCCUCACUUUGAUAAAUCUAUAUCAAUGGCGAGGAGGAGAGUCACAGUGAUUGGAUUAUCGUUCCUGCUUUUAGCUGGUACGACGAUGGCAGCGAGAUCUGAUAAGGAAACGAGAGAGCGCUUCUACGGCAACGUUGUGAACUCCACGGCUCCGGGAAACGGCGAAGGGAGUAUCG
This is an RNA transcript of Brassica rapa (field mustard), 2729 nucleotides long. It is a transcript of the gene named K(+) efflux antiporter 5, with no coding region annotated. The record is from RefSeq and is a predicted model, not a curated record. NCBI's taxonomy places the organism in Eukaryota, Viridiplantae, Streptophyta, Magnoliopsida, Brassicales, Brassicaceae.